AGAGUUUGAUCCUGGCUCAGAACGAACGCUGGCGGCGUGCUUAACACAUGCAAGUCGAACGAGAAAGAGGUCUUCGGACCUUGAGUAAAGUGGCGCACGGGUGAGUAACGCGUAGAUAACCUGUCCAGGUGUUUGGGAUAGCCCUUCGAAGGGGGGAUUAAUACCAAAUACGUUAGUUUGUCAUAAGACAGAUUAAGAAAGGUGGCCUCUAUUUAUAAGCUAUCGCAUUUGGAGGGGUCUGCGUACCAUUAGUUUGUUGGUGGGGUAAUGGCCUACCAAGACUUCGAUGGUUAGCGGGUCUGAGAGGAUGAUCCGUCACACUGGCACUGAAACACGGGCCAGACUCCUACGGGAGGCAGCAGUGAGGAAUAUUGCGCAAUGGGGGAAACCCUGACGCAGCGACGCCGCGUGGGUGAGGAAGGCUUUCGGGUCGUAAAGCCCUGUCAGAAGGGAAGAAAUGUGUAGUGGUUAAUACCCAUUGCACUUGACGGUACCUUCAAAGGAAGCACCGGCUAACUCCGUGCCAGCAGCCGCGGUAAUACGGAGGGUGCAAGCGUUGUUCGGAAUCACUGGGCGUAAAGGGCGCGCAGGCGGUUUGAUUAGUCAGAUGUGAAAGCCCACGGCUUAACCGUGGAAGUGCAUUUGAAACUGUCAGACUUGAGUACCAGAGGGGGUAGUGGAAUUCCCGGUGUAGAGGUGAAAUUCGUAGAUAUCGGGAGGAAUACCGGUGGCGAAGGCGACUACCUGGCUGGAUACUGACGCUGAGGCGCGAAAGCGUGGGGAGCAAACAGGAUUAGAUACCCUGGUAGUCCACGCCGUAAACGAUGUGAACUAGGUGUAGGGGGUGUUGAUCCCCUCUGUGCCGCAGCUAACGCAUUAAGUUCACCGCCUGGGGAGUACGGUCGCAAGAUUAAAACUCAAAGGAAUUGACGG
Molecule: ribosomal RNA, 933 nt
Filed under: uncultured bacterium
Lineage: Bacteria
Description: bacterial SSU rRNA
Rfam family: Bacterial small subunit ribosomal RNA
Source: RNAcentral